Molecule: ribosomal RNA, 778 nt
Filed under: uncultured Bacillota bacterium
Lineage: Bacteria; Bacillati; Bacillota
Description: bacterial SSU rRNA
Rfam family: Bacterial small subunit ribosomal RNA
Source: RNAcentral
AAGUCGCACGAGAAAACAGUAGCAAUACUGUGAGUACAGUGGCGUACGGGUGAGUAACACGUGGAUCAUCUACCUUCUAGUGGGGAAUACCCCCGGGAAACUGGGGACAAUACCGCAUAAGCUCGUAAGAGGAAAGCAGCAAUGCGCUGGAAGAGGAGUCCGCGGCUGAUUAGCUAGUUGGCGGGGUAACGGCCCACCAAGGCGAAGAUCGGUAGCCGGCCUGAGAGGGCACACGGCCACACUGGCACUGAAACACGGGCCAGACUCCUACGGGAGGCAGCAGUGGGGAAUCUUGCACAAUGGAGGAAACUCUGAUGCAGCGACGCCGCGUGAGCGAUGAAGCCCUUCGGGGUGUAAAGCUCUUUCGACGGGAACGAUAAUGACGGUACCCGAAGAAGAAGCUGCGGCUAACUACGUGCCAGCAGCCGCGGUAAUACGUAGGCAGCAAGCGUUGUUCGGAAUUACUGGGCGUAAAGAGUGUGUAGGCGGUGUUCUAAGUUUGUCGUGAAAUCUCCCGGCUUAACUGGGAGGGUGCGGCGAAAACUGGAAUGCUAGAGGAUGGGAGAGGUAAGCGGAAUUCCUGGUGUAGCGGUGAAAUGCGUAGAUAUCAGGAGGAACACCUGUGGUGUAGACAGCUUACUGGACCAUUUCUGACGCUGAGACACGAAAGCGUGGGUAGCAAACAGGAUUAGAUACCCUGGUAGUCCACGCCCUAAACGAUGCAUACUUGGUGUGAGCGAUUCAUUUCGUUCGUGCCGGAGCUAACGCGUUAAGUAUG